Molecule: long non-coding RNA, 431 nt
Organism: Esox lucius (northern pike)
Lineage: Eukaryota; Metazoa; Chordata; Actinopteri; Esociformes; Esocidae
Source: Ensembl
ACACUUGCAGACUAUUGGGAUCAAAGAACACAGCUCUAUCAACACAUCAUUACAGAGCCAGUGCGGUGAGACAGGCAGCAGUGGUUCUCGGCAGACAGACGGGCCGGCGGAGGGCUCAGGCAGACAGAUGGGCCGGCGGAGGGCUCAGGCAGACAGACGGGCCGGCGGAGGGCUCAGGCAGACAGACGGGCCGGCGGAGGGCUCAGGAAGACAGACGGGCCGGCGGAGGGCUCAGGAAGACAGACGGGCCGGCGGAGGUUUCAGGAAGACAGACGGGCCGGCGGAGGGCUCAGGAAGACAGACGGGCCGGCGGAGGGCUCAGGAAGACAGACGGGCCGGCGGAGGGCUCAGGAAGACAGACGGGCCGGCGGAGGGCUCAGGAAGACAGACGGGCCGGCGGAGGGGUCAGGCAGACAGACGGGCCGGCGGAG